CCCGUAACGAGCGCAACCCUUGUCCUUAGUUACCAGCACAUUAUGGUGGGCACUCUAAGGAGACUGCCGGUGACAAACCGGAGGAAGGUGGGGAUGACGUCAAGUCAUCAUGGCCCUUACGGCCUGGGCUACACACGUGCUACAAUGGUCGGUACAGAGGGUUGCCAAGCCGCGAGGUGGAGCUAAUCUCACAAAACCGAUCGUAGUCCGGAUCGCAGUCUGCAACUCGACUGCGUGAAGUCGGAAUCGCUAGUAAUCGCGAAUCAGAAUGUCGCGGUGAAUACGUU
RNAcentral lists this ribosomal RNA (287 nucleotides) under Pseudomonas syringae. RNAcentral describes it as "partial 16S ribosomal RNA". It matches the Rfam family "Bacterial small subunit ribosomal RNA", at positions 1086 to 1372 of the family's 1533-position model. Lineage: Bacteria; Pseudomonadati; Pseudomonadota; Gammaproteobacteria; Pseudomonadales; Pseudomonadaceae. The record is from RNAcentral.